This 731-nucleotide ribosomal RNA is filed under the name uncultured Streptococcaceae bacterium. RNAcentral describes it as "bacterial SSU rRNA". It matches the Rfam family "Bacterial small subunit ribosomal RNA", at positions 58 to 772 of the family's 1533-position model. The record is from RNAcentral. Lineage: Bacteria; Bacillati; Bacillota; Bacilli; Lactobacillales; Streptococcaceae.
CAAGUAGAACGCUGAAGCUUGGUGCUUGCACCGAGCGGAUGAGUUGCGAACGGGUGAGUAACGCGUAGGUAACCUGCCUGGUAGCGGGGGAUAACUAUUGGAAACGAUAGCUAAUACCGCAUAACAGUCGACAUUGCAUGAUGUUGAUUUGAAAGGGGCAAUUGCUCCACUACCAGAUGGACCUGCGUUGUAUUAGCUAGUUGGUGAGGUAACGGCUCACCAAGGCGACGAUACAUAGCCGACCUGAGAGGGUGAUCGGCCACACUGGGACUGAGACACGGCCCAGACUCCUACGGGAGGCAGCAGUAGGGAAUCUUCGGCAAUGGACGGAAGUCUGACCGAGCAACGCCGCGUGAGUGAAGAAGGUUUUCGGAUCGUAAAGCUCUGUUGUAAGAGAAGAACGAGUGUGAGAGUGGAAAGUUCACACUGUGACGGUAACUUACCAGAAAGGGACGGCUAACUACGUGCCAGCAGCCGCGGUAAUACGUAGGUCCCGAGCGUUAUCCGGAUUUAUUGGGCGUAAAGCGAGCGCAGGCGGUUAGAUAAGUCUGAAGUUAAAGGCUGUGGCUUAACCAUAGUACGCUUUGGAAACUGUUUAACUUGAGUGCAGAAGGGGAGAGUGGAAUUCCAUGUGUAGCGGUGAAAUGCGUAGAUAUAUGGAGGAACACCGGUGGCGAAAGCGGCUCUCUGGUCUGUAACUGACGCUGAGGCUCGAAAGCGUGGGGAGCAAA